CCUUCGGGAACUCUGAGACAGGUGCUGCAGUGGCUGUCGUCAGCUCGUGUUGUGAAAUGUUGGGUUAAGUCCCGCAACGAGCGCAACCCUUAUCCUUUGUUGCCAGCGAGUAAUGUCGGGAACUCAAAGGAGACUGCCGGUGAUAAACCGGAGGAGGUGGGAUGACGUCAAGUCAUCAUGGCCCUUACGAGUAGGGCUACACACGUGCUACAAUGGCAUAUACAAAGAGAAGCGAACUCGCGAGAGCAAGCGGACCUCAUAAAGUAUGUCGUAGUCCGGAUUGGAGUCUGCAACUCGACUCCAUGAAGUCGGAAUCGCUAGUAAUCGUAGAUCAGAAUGCUACGGUGAAUACGUUCCCGGGCCUU
Molecule: ribosomal RNA, 365 nt
Filed under: uncultured Enterobacteriaceae bacterium
Lineage: Bacteria; Pseudomonadati; Pseudomonadota; Gammaproteobacteria; Enterobacterales; Enterobacteriaceae
Description: bacterial SSU rRNA
Rfam family: Bacterial small subunit ribosomal RNA
Source: RNAcentral